GCCGACGUGGUGGAAUUGGUAGACACGCUAUCUUGAGGGGUAGUGGCGAAAGCUGUACCGGUUCGAGUCCGGUCGUCGGUACCA
This 84-nucleotide transfer RNA is filed under the name Thiothrix sp. Its description in RNAcentral is "tRNA-OTHER". It matches the Rfam family "tRNA". From Rfam's summary of the family: Transfer RNA (tRNA) molecules are approximately 80 nucleotides in length. Their secondary structure includes four short double-helical elements and three loops (D, anti-codon, and T loops). Further hydrogen bonds mediate the characteristic L-shaped molecular structure. tRNAs have two regions of fundamental functional importance: the anti-codon, which is responsible for specific mRNA codon recognition, and the 3' end, to which the tRNAs corresponding amino acid is attached (by aminoacyl-tRNA synthetases). tRNAs cope with the degeneracy of the genetic code in two manners: having more than one tRNA (with a specific anti-codon) for a particular amino acid; and 'wobble' base-pairing, i.e. permitting non-standard base-pairing at the 3rd anti-codon position. Lineage: Bacteria; Pseudomonadati; Pseudomonadota; Gammaproteobacteria; Thiotrichales; Thiotrichaceae. The record is from RNAcentral.